Molecule: ribosomal RNA, 253 nt
Filed under: uncultured bacterium
Lineage: Bacteria
Also listed under: 1 other name
Description: partial 16S ribosomal RNA
Rfam family: Bacterial small subunit ribosomal RNA
Source: RNAcentral
GACGGAGGGUGCAAGCGUUAUCCGGAUUCACUGGGUUUAAAGGGUGCGUAGGUGGGCAGGUAAGUCAGUGGUGAAAUCUCCGGGCUUAACCCGGAAACUGCCAUUGAUACUAUCUGUCUUGAAUACCCUGGAGGUGAGCGGAAUAUGUCAUGUAGCGGUGAAAUGCUUAGAUAUGACAUAGAACACCCAUUGCGAAGGCAGCUCACUACGGGAAUAUUGACACUGAGGCACGAAAGCGUGGGGAUCAAACAGG